GGGGGGGGCUAGGAUGAAAUUUGAAAAAAAUAGGCAGGACAGGAGUUUUGAGUAAAAAAAAAAGGCAGGAUGAGACACUUUGCAAAAAAAAAGGCAGGAUGACAAUUUAGGUAUACACUAAUAAAAAAAAAAGGGCAGGACCAAAUAGAGUGAAAAAUAAAAAGGCAGGACAGAGAUAACAACUAAAAAAAAAUGCAGGACAAAAUUUUUCAUUUAGCCCCCCCAUAAAAAUCAAAUGGUAGCCCCAGUCCCACUAGACCACGAUCGCACCACGCUCACCGCGAUCUAAAAUAAAUUAAGAUCGUGGUGAGGUCGCGAUAUGAGCGGUAUGAAAAUGUUAAUUUUCGUUGCUUUCACGAUGCUACUACGUCCUAACUACGCUUCUACAAUGAUCCCGCUACGAUUAAACCACGUUCUCACCGCGCUUAUUCUGCGACCUCACUACGCUUAGGGAGCUACCAUUUGAUUUUUAUGGGGGGGGGGGGGGGGGCUAGGAUGAAAUUUGAAAAAAAUAUGGCAGGACAGGAGUUUUGAGUAAAAAAAAGGCAGGAUGAGACACUUUUGCCAAAAAAAAAAGGCAGGAGACAAUUUAGGUAAAAAAGUCAGGAUAAACUAAUAAAAAAAAAGGCAGGACCGAAUAGAGUAAAAAAUAAAAGGCAGGACAGAGAUUACAACUAAAAAAAAAUGC
RNAcentral lists this long non-coding RNA (688 nucleotides) under Mytilus galloprovincialis (Mediterranean mussel). The record is from RNAcentral. Lineage: Eukaryota; Metazoa; Mollusca; Bivalvia; Mytilida; Mytilidae.